CGGCGGUGUCUAAUACUCCGUCGAAAAUCGAUUAUAAAUGGAAUGCUUUGGUGAACUUCAUAGAACCCUAAUUCGCGAAGAGGCAGCCGUACGCCCAUACCCUUCUUAGCCAAUGAAAUGGCCCUCGAGCUUAGCAGCAACUAACGAAAAGCUAUCAUGAAAAUAGAAUUGCUAAGCAUGUGGCAAUGUUAUGGGCUCUUACUGGGUUCAAUGGAGCUCUGUGUUACAACUUGAAUUUCAUCUUUGUAUGUAAAUUAUACAAUGUUAAACCUAUGAGAUGAGCUAGUUAGUGUUAAAUCAGUUUUUCUCCCUUCUGCGAAGGAUGAAGAUCAUGUUUUGAGUAAAUGUGAUUGCUGUAAAUAUUAUUGUCUUGAAAGUCUGCAACUCCAUUCCGAACAGAAAUUUGAUUAGAGCUGAGAGUCCAUGAAAAUAGCAAGUGUGAUGUUUUGAUCUCUUGCUAUUGAUAUGAAACCCAAAAUGUAGGAUAAUCUUGGGAAAUAAAGAACACCACUUUGAUCUU
Long non-coding RNA from Tripterygium wilfordii, 520 nucleotides. RefSeq lists it as uncharacterized. Lineage: Eukaryota; Viridiplantae; Streptophyta; Magnoliopsida; Celastrales; Celastraceae. The record is from RefSeq and is a predicted model, not a curated record. The transcript is spliced from 2 exons.